GUCGUAGGGCUUCUCCCUGUUGGCAGAUGAUAAUGGCUUAGUUCUUUCCUGAUCGAGUGCCUUUAAUUAUCUGCCAAAGGAGAGUUGCCCUAUGACUA
RNAcentral lists this microRNA precursor (98 nucleotides) under Aquilegia coerulea. RNAcentral's name for it is "Aquilegia caerulea miR399 stem-loop (aqc-MIR399)". Its record names the gene aqc-MIR399. Lineage: Eukaryota; Viridiplantae; Streptophyta; Magnoliopsida; Ranunculales; Ranunculaceae. The record is from miRBase by way of RNAcentral.